GCCAGGCAUGGUGGCGGGUGCCUGUAAUCCCAGCUACUCAGGAGGCUGAGGCAGGAGAAUCGCUUGAACCCAGGGGGCGGAGGUUGCAGUGAGCUGAGAUCACGUUACUGCACUCCAGCCUGGGUGACAGAGUGAGACUCUGUCUCAA
Unclassified non-coding RNA from Pongo abelii (Sumatran orangutan), 148 nucleotides. It matches the Rfam family "Metazoan signal recognition particle RNA". Rfam says of the family: The signal recognition particle (SRP) is a universally conserved ribonucleoprotein. It is involved in the co-translational targeting of proteins to membranes. Lineage: Eukaryota; Metazoa; Chordata; Mammalia; Primates; Hominidae. The record is from Ensembl.